Long non-coding RNA from Myotis brandtii (Brandt's bat), 1254 nucleotides. RefSeq lists it as uncharacterized. NCBI's taxonomy places the organism in Eukaryota, Metazoa, Chordata, Mammalia, Chiroptera, Vespertilionidae. The record is from RefSeq and is a predicted model, not a curated record. The transcript has 4 exons.
GGCGCCCGGCUGAGCUGCGCGCGCCGCGUCAGCCCUGCCUCGGUUUCCCACCGCAGCGCCGAGGGAGCUCCUGGCAUCGUGAGCAUCUGCAAGUCUGGAGGAGUGAGAGGUCUCUUCUGGAAAUUAAGAUGUGGAGUUGAAAUGACUGGACAACUUCCUCAAGGACCAAAGAUUGAAUCAAGGUCUCACUGAUACCAAGCCAGAGCUACUUCUAGGACUCCAGAUGUCCUCCCUGUGACCACAAAAGAAGCACAGAAGCUACUUUGGCCUGAGUAAAGAGCCUCCUGUGUCCUCACACUUCCUCAUCAAGAAGACUUGGGGGAGCUCACUCGGCUUCCCAGGUGUAUGGAUUUAAGGGCAGGACUGUCACUACGAAAUGGUUUCAGGCCUCUCGAUCAACAGGACAAAAGAUGGCUACCCCAUUGCUGCCAAAUUACAUCUCUUCAAUUCAAGUGACCAACCAGCAAACGCAGCAGAAUACAGCCAUCCAAAUGAAGGUUGUUGUCUUCCAAGUAAUUCCAAGACGCUCAAACAUGUAAAAAUCCUUUUAGGGAAUUACUGGCCAAGUCUUGCUCUCACUGUUUUGCUUUCUGUUGAUCAUUCAUUCAGCAUGUAUUAGACACCUCCCGGGUGCCAAACCCUCUGCCAGGUCCAGGAUAUAGAGUGAGGAGAGAGAUGCAAUCUCAUUGCAUGUUUGAUGAAGGAGGCCCCCUGGGGCCGGUGGAAAAAGUUAGCCCAACCUAGGUUUGAAUCCCAGUUUAGCCUGUGCGGGUUGUGUAACCUCAGGCAACUUUCCUAAACUCUUUGAGUCACAAUGUCCUCAUGUCUAAAAUGAAGAUGGUAAAACUGACUUCAUAGGAUUGCUUUGAGGAGAAAAGCAGAUAAAAUGUGUAGUAACUAGCCAUUGCAGAGACCGAUACAGAGUCGUUGCUCAGCCGAUGAGUGUUCCUGUGAUUAUAAUUGUUUGAUUUACAUAGCUAGUUCAACCGUCUCUUUGGGGGGAUUAGACUCUGAAUGCACUUUUGGAAAAAAAAUCAAACGUUUUAUUAUGUGUAUGUGGGUAAUACAAGGUACAAAAUUCAAAGUGUACAAACAUUAGGCGAUGGAAAUGAAAACUUCUUUCUUCCCUUGCUCCUCUGCUGCUCAUUUUUCUCCCCGGAGAUAACUGGUAUGACCAGGAUCUUGUAUAUUUACAGAUUUAAUUAUAUUUCUUGGAGAUAGGUUCAUAACAAUACAUUGGUUCCUGCUGCAUCA